This 69-nucleotide transfer RNA is filed under the name Marmota marmota marmota (Alpine marmot). It matches the Rfam family "tRNA". From Rfam's summary of the family: Transfer RNA (tRNA) molecules are approximately 80 nucleotides in length. Their secondary structure includes four short double-helical elements and three loops (D, anti-codon, and T loops). RNAcentral also lists the same sequence under 2 other names. The record is from Rfam by way of RNAcentral. Lineage: Eukaryota; Metazoa; Chordata; Mammalia; Rodentia; Sciuridae.
GGGGUUGUAGCUCAGCGAUAGAGCGCUCACCUAGCAUGUGCGAGGCCCUGGGUUCUAUUCUCAGCACCA